UUUCUUCACUCACUUUGCCCUCUCCCUCUGUGUGACUGAACAGCUUGGGCCAAAGGAAGGGGCAAGCAAAUGAGCAAAGGGAACAGGAACAAAGCAGCUCCUGGAAUCCUUAUGCAAGUACCAUGAUCACUGCUACCUUUGGGGAACGAGGACUGCAAAAGGAUCCUUCCUAAAUCCUUCUAUUAAGGGCAUCUUCCUAGCUCUCCAAAACAUGGAGGUGACACUGGACUGAAUUCCACUGUGUCACUGGUAUUUCUAUUGAAGGGUGUCCUGAGGAUUUCACAAAGUACUUCUCUUACAUCUGGGAGGAAGAACGCUUGUGAUGACCCAGGAGAGAAAUUCAGUAACAUUUUGCUGAGCUUGUUUAUGGCUCAAGGGAGAGUCAUACCUUUGCUUAAUAUUCUGCUCUUGAUCAGUGACAAGAGCAAACAGAGGGGGGCAUAACCCCUUGCGUCAUUUAAUCUCCUUCUGGGCAGUAGUGAAGUUAAGAUCCUCAGGGAGGGGUAAAGGAGCACUACUGACCAAAAUCUGGAAUGGAGGGGACCAUUCAGGAAUGGGCCUCUCCAAAUUGAGCCAACACUGGCUGAAACACUCCAUUUAAUAUUACUUAUUUAAUUUCCACAAUGAUGAAAACAGGGAAGUGGGCUUAUUGCUAUAGUUCAUCUAGGAAUAUUUUUUUUAUCAUGCUAGACACACAGU
This 699-nucleotide long non-coding RNA is filed under the name Pogona vitticeps (central bearded dragon). Its description in RNAcentral is "lncRNA (ENSPVIG00000018934.1)". Lineage: Eukaryota; Metazoa; Chordata; Lepidosauria; Squamata; Agamidae. The record is from RNAcentral.